GUUCAAGAUACCCACAAGAUGUCAACAGAAGCCAGCUCCAGUGGGUGGGUGGUGGCUACUAGGAAGGCUGUGUUAGAAGGAUCCUGAGGACAAAGGAUCAUAAUCGAUUCGUGUCUAACACAGAUGUGGGAGGAAAUAAUGAGGCCAAGGUCCCAUGAUGUGUUAAUGGCAGAGCCAGGACCUGACCCAGAUGUCCCAGACCCCAGCCCAGGACCUUUCCCCACACUGCUGCGUCUUCAUCAACAUCAGCAGGGCAUGCACUCAAGUUUUUCCAGCUUCCUAUGCAUCCUCUGAAAAAUUGUACCUCCUUUGAGAAGCCUUCAGGCCCCACCCCGCAUCGAUACAGAGUACAAGACCACACCACAUUGUGCUGGAGCCAUCAGUGUGGUAUGUGAGGUGGUGACAGUGUCUUGCUGGCUGUCCCAGCACCUGGAUUGGGUGAGUCUGAGAGCCUCUGAGCCCUGACCUGUGUCCAGACACCUACCUCAA
Long non-coding RNA from Callithrix jacchus (white-tufted-ear marmoset), 489 nucleotides. RefSeq lists it as uncharacterized. The record is from RefSeq and is a predicted model, not a curated record. Lineage: Eukaryota; Metazoa; Chordata; Mammalia; Primates; Cebidae.